This is a long non-coding RNA of Contarinia nasturtii (swede midge), 505 nucleotides long. RefSeq lists it as uncharacterized. Lineage: Eukaryota; Metazoa; Arthropoda; Insecta; Diptera; Cecidomyiidae. The transcript is spliced from 3 exons. The record is from RefSeq and is a predicted model, not a curated record.
UAAGAAAAAAGAAAACAUACACACAUAAUAUCGUCCGCCGUAUAUCGAACGCCUGGCAUCGUUUACAGUUUUCCCCAGCACAUUCAACUAGAAAGUAAUCGCUACUUGUCCGAGCACGACGCGCGUCCAGUUCAAAAUCUAUCAAAAAUGAAUGAAGCAAGCAGUUUAAUGACCAGUUUUUUGGUCUUGGUGGUACUUUUGUUUGCUCUAUAUCUAUUGUAUGCCAGUCUUUUAAAUAAAUUGUAAAUGUACUAAAAUCGAUAGGAUAAAACAACAAAGAGCAUCAAUACCACGAUCAAUGUCUAACAAUUCAGCCUCCGAUUUCCGAUUCCAUUGGCCAACGCAAUCCGGCCGCAAUAAAUACACAACCAUUUAAUUCGGGAAGGGAAAAUCUACAAAAUUCCUAAAAUUAAUUUCACCAUGUUUUUUUAGUUAGUGACACCGUGGAGAAAUAUGCAAAUCCAUAAAUAAAAAAAAAACACAUUUUAAAAUAUUAAUAAAACAA